GCAGUGCAAGAAUUUGGACUGAGAUCUGGGAGGAGCUCUUAGACUCUGCGCUUUAUUCCAUGGUACAAUCCCUGUGUAAAGAAAUUUCUUGUGCAAUCUGGUUUUCUUUUGCAUACAUCAUUUACCAUCUUUCAAGGGUGAAAAAAAUGUACCAACAAUUUGCCAGCACCUUAAAUGAACUGCCAAGCCUGUCAAGUUUCCUUCCUUAAUACACUUUUACCUUUUGGGUUACUUUGUAUUUUUGAGUGAGUAAAGUCCAGCUA
Molecule: long non-coding RNA, 263 nt
Organism: Oenanthe melanoleuca
Lineage: Eukaryota; Metazoa; Chordata; Aves; Passeriformes; Muscicapidae
Exons: 3
Source: RefSeq, a predicted model, not a curated record